Nymphaea colorata (pocket water lily) is the source of this 99-nucleotide small nuclear RNA. NCBI's taxonomy places the organism in Eukaryota, Viridiplantae, Streptophyta, Magnoliopsida, Nymphaeales, Nymphaeaceae. The record is from RefSeq and is a predicted model, not a curated record.
GCCUCUGGCAUCGUAGAGACAUCCGAUAAAAUUGGAACGAUACAGAAAAGAUUAGCUUGGCUCCUAUACAAGGUUGACGCGCCUGCCUCUUCGUCUCUU